Long non-coding RNA from Wasmannia auropunctata (little fire ant), 337 nucleotides. RefSeq lists it as uncharacterized. NCBI's taxonomy places the organism in Eukaryota, Metazoa, Arthropoda, Insecta, Hymenoptera, Formicidae. The transcript is spliced from 3 exons. The record is from RefSeq and is a predicted model, not a curated record.
CCCGUUCGGUAAAUUUAGUCGUUUGAGGAGGGGCGGAGGGAGGGGAGUUGCUAGGAGCAAAUGGAUGAAUCAUUAAUUUUUUUUCGGAUGUUCUCGAGGAAAAGUCGGAUAUACAAAGCGUACAUAGAACGUAUAAUAUAGAUCCUGUAUAACUUGGUGGAAUCGAGCCAUUUAUUUUGCCGGAAUCUUGGCGAAAGCGCAGUAGCCGCGUGUCGUGGCGGUCCCGCAGCGAAUCCCACAGUAGAAUUUCGACGGUGCGAAAAAGAUACAUUUGUUAAAGCAUCACGAAAACGUAUCCAAUCUAUUUAAUGAAAUCCGGCGCAAGAAUGCACAAAAG